This 373-nucleotide ribosomal RNA is filed under the name uncultured organism. RNAcentral's name for it is "partial 16S ribosomal RNA". It matches the Rfam family "Bacterial small subunit ribosomal RNA", at positions 527 to 896 of the family's 1533-position model. The record is from RNAcentral.
GUAGGUGGCAAGCGUUGUCCGGAAUUAUUGGGCGUAAAGCGCGCGCAGGCGGUUCUUUAAGUCUGAUGUGAAAGCCCACGGGCUCAACCGGGGAGGGUCAUUGGAAACUGGAGAACUUGAGUACAGAAGAGGAAAGCGGAAUUCCACGUGUAGCGGUGAAAUGCGUAGAGAUGUGGAGGAACACCAGUGGCGAAGGCGGCUUUCUGGUCUGUAACUGACGCUGAGGCGCGAAAGCGUGGGGAGCAAACAGGAUUAGAUACCCUGGUAGUCCACGCCGUAAACGAUGAGUGCUAAGUGUUAGGGGGUUUCCGCCCCUUAGUGCUGCAGCUAACGCAUUAAGCACUCCGCCUGGGGAGUACGGCCGCAAAGGCUG